RNAcentral lists this transfer RNA (67 nucleotides) under Brephallus tramlapensis. RNAcentral describes it as "tRNA-Asn". Lineage: Eukaryota; Metazoa; Arthropoda; Insecta; Blattodea; Blaberidae. The record is from RNAcentral.
UUAACUGAAACCAAAUUAGAGGUGUAUUACUGUUAAUAAUAUGAUUGAAUAUAAAAUUCUAGUUAAG